RNAcentral lists this ribosomal RNA (425 nucleotides) under uncultured bacterium. RNAcentral's name for it is "bacterial SSU rRNA". It matches the Rfam family "Bacterial small subunit ribosomal RNA", at positions 29 to 473 of the family's 1533-position model. The record is from RNAcentral.
AACGAACGCUGGCGGCAUGCCUAACACAUGCAAGUCGAACGCCUGUAGCAAUACAGGAGUGGCGCACGGGUGAGUAACGCGUGGGAACCUGCCCUGGAGUGGGGGAGUAACCGAGAGAAAUUUCGGCUAAUACCGCAUACGUCCUGAGGGAGAAAGAUUUAUCGCUCUAGGAGGGGCCCGCGUCGGAUUAGCUAGUUGGUGGGGUAACGGCCUACCAAGGCAACGAUCCGUAGCCGGCCNGAGAGGGCGGUCGGCCACACUGACACUGACAUACGGGUCAGACUCCUACGGGAGGCAGCAGUCGGGAAUUUUGGGCAAUGGGCGAAAGCCUGACCCAGCAACGCCGCGUGAAGGAUAGAAACUCCCUCGGGACGUAAACUUCGCAAGAACGGGAAGAAUAAGUAGAAGCGAAUACCUUCUAUGAU